GACGAACGCUGGCGGCGUGCUUAACACAUGCAAGUCGAACGGAAAGGCCCUGCUUUUGUUGGUUGCUCGAUUGGCGAACGGGUGAGUAACACGUGAGUAACCUCUCCUUGACUUUGGGAUAACUUCACGAAACUGGGGCUAAUACCCGAUAUGAGCUCCUGCUGCAUGGUGUGGGUUGGAAAGUUUCGGCGGUUGUGGAUGGUCUCGAGGCUUAUCAGCUUGUUGGUGGGGUAGUGGCUUACCAAGGCUUUGACGGGUAGCCGGCCUGAGAGGCUGACCGGCCACAUUGGGACUGAGAUACGGCGCAGACUCCUACGGGAGGCAGCAGUGGGGAAUAUUGCAGAGUAGGGGGAAGCCUGAUGCAGCAACGCCGCGUGCGGGAUGACGGCCUUCGGGUUGUAAACCGCUUUGGCCUGUGAUGAAGCGUGAGUGACGGUAAUGGGUAAGGAAGCACCGGCUAACUACGUG
RNAcentral lists this ribosomal RNA (468 nucleotides) under uncultured bacterium. Its description in RNAcentral is "partial 16S ribosomal RNA". It matches the Rfam family "Bacterial small subunit ribosomal RNA", at positions 28 to 507 of the family's 1533-position model. The record is from RNAcentral.